Molecule: long non-coding RNA, 1196 nt
Organism: Pongo pygmaeus (Bornean orangutan)
Lineage: Eukaryota; Metazoa; Chordata; Mammalia; Primates; Hominidae
Exons: 2
Source: RefSeq, a predicted model, not a curated record
AACAAUGGAAUAGAACGUGAUACUGGUGGGCUGGGGGAGGUCCCCGGACACUGGUGGGAUCUCGACCCCAGCCGUGGUGUCCAGGCUCUUGACACCAUCUCCAGAACAAAGUCAAAGAUGAGUCAGCAAAUAGUGAAAGAAGAGAUUUAUUGCAAAGCAAAAAAAUAUAAAAAACUAACAUGAGGUAAGCGCUAAGGUGUGGAGAUGGCUGUGCAAGAGAUGACAAAGUCCAACACCAUGCUUGAGAGUGUCCAAUCAUCUCUUCUGGGGCAGCAUAUUUUUCUACAAUACUGAAUUUGGAAAAAAAGAAAACCAACAACAUCAAAAAAAAAAACAAACAAACCUACAAGAUUGAUGUAACUGGACAACUGUCUUUAUAACAUUACCAGUGAUAAAACCAGUAAGGAAGGCUGGUUUGCAGUCAUCUGAGCAGCCUCUUUACUUUCAUAAAUAUGGUUUCUCUCUGAUAUUAAACGGCUUCCAAUUGCAAGUGGAAUGCUACAUCACAAGGAUAAGGAUGCGAAGAGAACCGGUUUCUUCUGUAAUCCGAAACACUCUAGUUUGAGAAUUAAAAGCCAUUAUUUGAAGAAGGGUGCCCGGCUCCAUCUGGUCUCCGAAAGGUUGCUCCUCAACACAGGAUAAGGAUCAGCUUCUUUGGAAGAGAACAGAUGCAGGGGCGGGAGGGAAAAAGGGAGAGACAGACGUCACUUCCCCUUGCCGGCUCUGGCAGCGGAUUGGUCGGUUGAGUGGCAGAAAGGCAGACAGGGACUUGGCAAGGCACUGUCGGUGACAUCACGGAUAGGGCGACUUCUAUGUAGAUGAGGCAGCGCAGGGGCUGCUGCUUCGCCACUUGCUGCUUCGCCACGAAGGAGUUCCCGUGCCGUGGGAACGGGUUUAGGACCGCUGAUCAGAACUGAAAAUCCCAGCUGUGUGUGAGGGCUGGCAAGGUCUCGGGAGUGCGCAGGGGAAGUGACCGUGUGUGUAAAGAGCGAGGCGUAUGAGGCUGUGACGGGGCAGCGGCAUAAGAUCUCAUACUUACCUGGCAGGGGAGAUACCAUGAUCACGAAGGUGGUUUUCCCAGGGCGAGGCUUAUCCAUUGCACUCCGGAUGUGCUGACCCCUGCGAUUUCCCCAAAUGUGGGAAACUCGACUGCAUAAUUUGUGGUAGUGGGGGACUGCGUUCGCGCUUUCCCCUGA